GGGGUAGUAAAGGUUUCGACGGGGGUUUAGAAGCUAUGGCAGCCAUCCGAGGAAGGUGACCUCGUAAAAACAUCUACUAAAUAUAAACGCUGAUAAUAAAUUAGCACUCGCUGCCUAAGUGCAGCUGUCAGCCCUGUGUCAUCCGCUGCAUAGGAUACUGGCAUCGAACAGGCGGAGCACUUCCUUGUCAAAGCUUGUAGACAUGGGAAGAAUUACAAGCUACCGAAAUUAUAAGCCUGUGAGUGGGCGUAUAACGUAGGGAAUGUCAAAACACUUACUGUGAUGGGAGAGGUUGUAGUGAAAGAGCUUUCGGACAGGGGUUCGAUUCCCCUCUGCUCCAUAA
This 343-nucleotide transfer-messenger RNA is filed under the name Lachnospiraceae. RNAcentral describes it as "Eubacterium_Q sp900199595 Standard tmRNA". It matches the Rfam family "transfer-messenger RNA". From Rfam's summary of the family: Bacterial tmRNA, also known as 10Sa RNA or SsrA, is named for its dual tRNA and mRNA-like properties. Its role is to liberate the mRNA from a stalled ribosome. The record is from RNAcentral. RNAcentral also lists the same sequence under 1 other name. Lineage: Bacteria; Bacillati; Bacillota; Clostridia; Lachnospirales.